AAAUGCAGUGCUUGCUUCCUAUCUGUGGUCCAUUGCAUAGCAGUGUGCUUGGGUGCUGCGUAAGACAAUUCCCCCCAACGCCUCCAAAAAAUAGGACAUGGUCCACUGCAGGAGUUCAUAAUCUAGGAGUCCAGAGAGUCCAGGCUCAUCAUCCCUUCAGAAGAAAGAAUCUUCAGGCCUCUGCUCUUGUGAGAGUAAUUUCUCUUAACACCGACAGUGCAGCCUACUCCAUGUGCUACUUUCUCUCGCAACUUUGAGCAAGAAUGUUAGAUCUUUUGCUGGGGGCCUUCGGAAGCCGUGAGGGAGCAUAUCCUGACACCCACAUAGAAGACCUGGUACCUAUGUUUCCACAUCACAAAGCAGGCCAACAAGCACACAAGGCCGCAGACCAAAUUAAGAAUCAUCUGGAUGAGUAAGAACAGUUUGAAAGUGCCAGUGACGCUGGUACAGUCCGUCACAUCCCGGUAAACAAAGGUCCUGCUGAGCGGCUCCGAGGAGGGCAGUUUGCACUGGCAAGAGUCGAGUGUGGUCUCACAGGUAAACUGUGUGAGCUGCGAAUAGUGGUGGGCGGCAAAGGCCACGGCCAGCACACAGACCGUCAGGCCCAGGGCACUCAGCAGAAAGUAUAACAGCUGCAAGAAAGCAGAAGAAAACCUUUCUGGUUACAAAGAACAUUGGAUGAUGAUUUGCAAAGCGAAUUCAUCAAAACUGUUCUUUUUCUUCCCUCCCAGAAAUUUUCUGAUGGAAAGGCUGUCUCUUCUUAGAAACACAACACCCAAGACAUGGAAAUAGCUCCAUGUUUAUUUAUUAGUGGGUAGUUCUUAAACCCUGAUCACAUUUUCACUUGCCAUCCAGAUGUUGGGCCCUUUUCAAGAGUUGUGACAACCAUAUUAGCUGGACUGUGGAAUGUUUUUGUCUAGAUAUUGCCAGCAGUUUAGAUGAAUCCCAAACAAGCUAGCCAUCCCUGGAUGACAUGUUGUGCUUAUUUUGAACUCAAGAACUUCUGAUAUUAAGACUGAAACAAGACUAGGAAGUAAAGAACAGGUUUUUGUAAUGCAAACACUGUGUGGGCCAAAAUUAGCAAUGAUGGGUCAACUAAUAGCAUAAGUUAAUUUUUUUAAAAGACUACAUUCAAUGUAGUGAUUGCCAAACUGUAUCCAUAAACAUGAGAAUCCCCAGUAGGAGGUUGCUGGGAGAAAAUAAAUUAUGGCUCCAGAAGUCAAGUGACUCAACGUCAGCUUCAUCGCCUGUGAAACUUACCCCAAGCCCAACAACGACCAUGUGAUUCCUGAGCCUGAAAAAACUCUAAAUGGUUCCUCAGUCACCAAGGUUUUGAACACUGUUGGCCUCCAGAUUAGCUUUGGGAUUGAAAAAGUCUGGUUAAAGUUCUCGCUCUGCUGCUACAGGGCUGUGGGAACUCUGAACAAUUUAGGGAUUUAGCUUACACCUAAAAUAUUCUGAGCAAAACUUGUGGGUGUUCACUGACAUGGCCACAAUAAAAUCUAUGGAACAAGAAAUAUUUUUGUGAUUGAACUCACCUACUAGAAAUGUUAAUCUUAAUGGUCCACCUGCUGAGACUCUAGGUAAGGCUCAGAGUCCCCAGCUUUUGAGACUAGUACACAUAGUUCUUAGUGCAAGAAUUACAUUACCACAGUCAAAAGUUGCUCUCUACAGAGAACAAUUCUGGUAAAUGGACACUUCACAAAGUAAUAUUAGUUCCAGUCAUUUCCAGGUUCAGAGGAAAGUAGCUCUGAGAAGAUGAUGCCCUUCCCCCACCUUCCCUUAUAUAUAAUUC
Homo sapiens (human) is the source of this 1795-nucleotide long non-coding RNA. The record is from Ensembl. Lineage: Eukaryota; Metazoa; Chordata; Mammalia; Primates; Hominidae.